Molecule: regulatory RNA element, 85 nt
Organism: Oceanobacillus iheyensis HTE831
Lineage: Bacteria; Bacillati; Bacillota; Bacilli; Caryophanales; Bacillaceae
Rfam family: c-di-GMP-I riboswitch aptamer
About the family: GEMM was predicted in a large-scale screen for bacterial structured RNA regulatory elements. Genes associated with GEMM are involved in a diverse array of functions, including chemotaxis regulation, signal transduction, secretion and chitin.
Source: Rfam
CUCAGAAAAAGGCAAACCUAUUGAAAGAUGGGGACGCAAAGUCACAGAUCUAAGGUAUUUUUACUAAGAUGGCUGGACUAUCUGG